UCCGCACAAAAGUGCAACAUAAACUUGAGAUUUAAGAAUAACCAACACGGUGACUGAUAGUGAUAAAAAAUAUUAAAACAACAGUGUUUAUGAAGCAAGCAAGUAGUUCACUUAAAUAAAACUGAACAGUGCGAGCAUGAGCAAGAAUUGACGGUGAAAUAUACGACAGACACACACCAGCAAAUAGAUAGUUGAACAGGAAGCAUUGCUUACCUAGGUCACAUUUAUUGCUGUCUUCGGCAUUCAUUACAGCAGUCACAACACAAACGAUGCUCACCACUCUCAGAAAAAUUUUGUGUUUCAGUGCACCUGCUCCUCAGAACGCCUAGACCUCAAUGAAUUACAAUUGCAGUAGACUUGUGCUGAUGUUUUAUUGCGCAGCCAUGUAUGAUAACGGUCGCUUCUGAUAACGGCGCGCCCACUAUGGAUGAAAAGGCGAGUGGCGGCUCAACUGCAAGCGGAGUCGAGGGCUCGCAAAGCUGCUGCAGUAUGGCGAAGUUGACAGCAAGCGGACCCGGAGUCUAGGGCGCGGGAAGCUGCAGCAAAACGGCAACGCCGGCAAGCGGACCCGGAGCUGAGGGCUCGCGAAGCUCGCGCUUGAACCGAGCAUCGACGCCACCAACGUCAGGUAGAGGACGCUUAAUUCCGGCGUUUUCCCGCCGCUUCCCGCGCUCUCGCCGCCUCUGGGUCCGCUUGCCGGCGUCGCCAUGCUGCUGCACUGAUCACAAGACAGUCUUAAUGAAGGGAAAACGAAGUCCGCACCUCAAUACCAUA
Long non-coding RNA from Dermacentor silvarum, 774 nucleotides. RefSeq lists it as uncharacterized. NCBI's taxonomy places the organism in Eukaryota, Metazoa, Arthropoda, Arachnida, Ixodida, Ixodidae. The record is from RefSeq and is a predicted model, not a curated record. The transcript has 3 exons.